RNAcentral lists this ribosomal RNA (245 nucleotides) under uncultured bacterium. RNAcentral's name for it is "partial 16S ribosomal RNA". It matches the Rfam family "Bacterial small subunit ribosomal RNA", at positions 524 to 768 of the family's 1533-position model. The record is from RNAcentral.
UACGUAGGCAGCGAGCGUUGUUCGGAGUUACUGGGCGUAAAGAGUGCGUAGGUGGUUUUCUAAGUUUGGUGUGAAAUCUCCCGGCUCAACUGGGAGGGUGCGCCGAAAACUGGAAGGCUAGAGUGUGGGAGAGGAGAGCGGAAUUCCUGGUGUAGCGGUGAAAUGCGUAGAUAUCAGGAGGAACACCUGCGGUGCAGACGGCUCUCUGGACCAUUACUGACACUGAGGCACGAAAGCGUGGGGAG